UACAGAGGUGGCAAGCGUUGUUCGGAUUUACUGGGCGUAAAGGGUGCGUAGGCGGCUCCGCAUGUCGGGUGUGAAAUCCCACGGAUCAUCUGUGGAACGGCAUUCGAAACUGCGGGGCUAGAGUGCGGGAGAGGAAGGUGGAAUUCUUGGUGUAGCGGUGAAAUGCGUUGAUAUCAAGAGGAACGCCGGUGGUGAAGACGACCUUCUGGAACGCAACUGACGCUGAGGCACGAAAGCUAGGGGAGCAAACAGG
RNAcentral lists this ribosomal RNA (253 nucleotides) under uncultured bacterium. RNAcentral's name for it is "partial 16S ribosomal RNA". It matches the Rfam family "Bacterial small subunit ribosomal RNA", at positions 524 to 776 of the family's 1533-position model. The record is from RNAcentral.